This 240-nucleotide RNase P RNA is filed under the name Candidatus Adiutrix sp. Its description in RNAcentral is "partial RNase P RNA component class A". It matches the Rfam family "Bacterial RNase P class A", at positions 119 to 367 of the family's 367-position model. From Rfam's summary of the family: Ribonuclease P (RNase P) is a ubiquitous endoribonuclease, found in archaea, bacteria and eukarya as well as chloroplasts and mitochondria. The record is from RNAcentral. Lineage: Bacteria; Pseudomonadati; Thermodesulfobacteriota; Desulfarculia; Candidatus Adiutricales; Candidatus Adiutricaceae.
GAGCAGACCGCCGCGCCAGUCGCGGUAAGGGUGAAAGGGUGAGGUAAGAGCUCACCGGCCGGGCGGGCGACCGUCCGGGCCAGGCAAGCCCCGUCCGGAGCAAAACCAAAUAGGGCGGCAAUAAGGCGGCCCGUCUUGCCGCCGGGUAGGUUGCUGGAGCCGUGGAGCGAUUCACGGCCUAGAUGAAUGGUCAUCACCCCUUAGGGGGAACAGAACCCGGCUUACAGGCCCCCCGCCCCG